RNAcentral lists this long non-coding RNA (322 nucleotides) under Vigna radiata. RNAcentral describes it as "long non-coding RNA (VRAD_LNC011528)". Lineage: Eukaryota; Viridiplantae; Streptophyta; Magnoliopsida; Fabales; Fabaceae. The record is from RNAcentral.
AUGGUUGAUUAGCUGGAAUGAGAUCCGUAAAUUGUGGAUCUGAAUUCCUUCCAUGCAAGGCCGAGAGGUUGAGCUAUAAAACCUCCUUGGUAUAACUUGUAUCACUUGCUUUUGGAUGAUAGUAAAGAAUUUCUGCUGAAAUGAAUAGCAAAUUCCUUCUCCAAGAGUCACUUCAAAGCUUGACCUCCAUUGAACCUUUCUUCCUCUUGAGGGAGCCGUCUGAGUUGUGAACCAUUCCACACAAGCUAGCCUCCAUUCCCCUUCCUACUGCAUACACUUUCCGCUGCCAGCCACCACCUCAUAUCCAUCAAACUCCAUUUCC